AGUGAACGCUGGCGGUAGGCCUAACACAUGCAAGUCGAACGGCAGGACAGUAAGAGCUUGCUCUUAAGGGUGGCGAGUGGCGGACGGGUGAGGAAUACAUCAGAAUCUACUUUUUCGUGGGGGAUAACGUAGGGAAACUUACGCUAAUACCGCAUACGACCUACGGGUGAAAGCAGGGGAUCGUCGGACCCUUGGCGGUUGAAAGGGCCGGAGCCGGAUUAGCUAGUUGGCGGGGUAAAGGCCCACCAAGGCAACGAUCCGUAGCUGGUCUGAGAGGAUGAUCAGCCACACUGGAACUGAGACACGGUCCAGACUCCUACGGGAGGCAGCAGUGGGGAAUAUUGGACAAUGGGCGCAAGCCUGAUCCAGCCAUACCGCGUGGGUGAAGAAGGCCUUCGGGUUGUAAAGCCCUUUUGUUGGGAAAGAAAAGCAGCAGGUUAAUACCCCGCUGUUCUGACGGUACCCAAAGAAUAAGCACCGGCUAACUUCGUG
RNAcentral lists this ribosomal RNA (492 nucleotides) under uncultured bacterium. RNAcentral's name for it is "partial 16S ribosomal RNA". It matches the Rfam family "Bacterial small subunit ribosomal RNA", at positions 29 to 507 of the family's 1533-position model. The record is from RNAcentral.